This 6637-nucleotide long non-coding RNA is filed under the name Podarcis lilfordi (Lilford's wall lizard). The record is from RNAcentral. Lineage: Eukaryota; Metazoa; Chordata; Lepidosauria; Squamata; Lacertidae.
ACUGACAAUACCAAGACAUGUAGUUAGACAGUGACUGGGUUCAAAUAAUUUUUUUUUAGCAUUUUAAAAACAUGCCCCCCAAUGCAUAUUCAGCAGUGGCGAGAACCCUGAAUGGCCACUCUAUUGGCGGGGCAUCACAACAACAGACCUAAAGUAAUAUGUUUAGCCUGGUUUGCUUCUGAUAAAUAUUGAUCACUGUGUAUUACACUUAAAUAAAAAACCUUAAGAGUAACACUGAUGCAUUUUCAAAACAAACUCGAGCCAUUUCAACUUGCUAAAGCCUACAUUAUAUACAGCUGCCUGUCAGCUGUAUAUACAGAAUAUGUAAAAAGGUGAAAGGUAAAGGACCCCUGACAGUUAAGUCCAGUCGCAGAUGACUCUGGGGUUGUGGCGCUCAUCUCGCUUUAUAGGCCAAGGGAGCCGGCGUUUGUCCGCAGACAGUUUCGCCAGGUCAUGUGGCCAGCAUGACUAAGCUGCUUCUGGCAAAACCAGAGCAGCGCAUGGAAACGCCAUUUACCUUCCCACCGGAGCGGUACCUAUUUAUCUACUCACACUAGCAUGCUUUCAAACUGCUAGGUUGGCAGGAGCUGGGACCGAGCAACGGGAGCUCAGCCCAUUGUGGGGAUUCAAACCGCCGACCUUCUGAUCAGCAAGCCCAAGAGGCUCAGUGGUUUAGACCACAGCGCCACCCACGUCCCUGUCAGAAUAUGUAAUAUCACUCAUUUCUUUGAAGGCCCAUCAGCCGCAAAGGCGCAAGUGCAACCUGGCUAACGUAAGAAAAUCCCUGCAUACAAAGACAAAAGGCCGCCCAGCCUAGCAUUUUGUUUUCAAAGUGGCCAACCAAAUCACUUUAUCCUGACCUUCAAAGCAGCUUACAAGUUCCUUCAGGACCAACUGAUUCCCCUGUGCUCUAUGUCAGCCACUGAGAUCCUCUGAUGGGGCACUUGUGGUGAUGCCCCACAUACCUGAAGUUUGCUUGGCUUGUACUCAGUUGGCCUACAGGUGUGGCAGGCCCUGUCCUGUGGAACUCCCUGCCAUUAGAGGUUGGGCAGGGACCGCCCCUGCCUUCUUUCAGACAGCUUCUGGAAACUAGACUGUUCCUAUUAAACCAACCGCAAUGUCUUUACCGAAGUUCUAUACUGAUUUGAUUGUAUUCCUGUAAUGUCGUAUUUAACCCUGAUAAACUUUUAUUAAGGUGCAGACUGUAAAAAGGUCAAUUUUAAAAAAAAAAAAAAUCAAGAAUACAUUUCUGCUUCCAUAUAAUAGCUAUAUAAAAAAUACAGUAAGCCCUCAUGUUAUAUGCAUUUGACUUGCACAUGGCUGAAAUUACACAGGUCAAGUCCCAAGCAAGGUGGACAGCUUAAAAGCUCUUUUUGUGCCCAUGUUUUCAAGCUCUUGGCCUCACUUGCUGAUCAAGGCCUGCCCACUUUGCCAACUUGGGGAGCUCUUUCUUUUUCUCCUUCACCCAUUAGCCAACAGCUUCACUCCACAUGACUUUCAUGCAUAUGUACUGUAUAACCCUUGGAAGUGAACCCUCAUCAAGAUUCUUCCCAAGGACACUUGGUUGUAGAUGGCCUUGUAGGAAGAGGGCACAGGACAGCUGGAACAGGAAUUGGCACCUGAUGUUUCCUCUUUCUUUCUUUUCCUUACAAAUGGCUGGAGGAGAAGAGACGGAAAACAACCCUCUUUUCCCACCACCUCCUCUCUGCUGGAACUACCUUAGAUGGUCCAAAGGAGCACCCAUGAUUAAGUCACUGUACACAGGUUUGUACAUAAGCCCCAUUUGUAAGUUUAGCUUAUGUAUUUACAGUACAUUUCAUUAUGUAGCUGAAUUUCUAUGUGCCACUGCAACACAAAACCUCCUUUAUGUUAAUUUAUACAUUUAAUUGUAGGAAUUUUCAUUAGGAAUCAGAGUUGCCAUAUGACUCGAGAGUAGGAGCAGGGAAGAAAUUUGAUUCAGCUUGCAUUUAAAAGCGCAUCUAUGAAAUUUGCACUUUCCAAAACUAUAUGAGAACCAAAAAACAGUCAUCCUCCAAAAUUUAGACAUCUCCAAAUUUUGCACUGCAGAACUCCAACCAAUGUUUACAAAAAUGUAUACAAGUAGAUAUUUAUAAAUACCUUGUUGUGUGAAGCUUGUAGUGGGUUUCCUAAUAGCUCAAUAUACUUGAUAGCUCAAAAAGUGAUCGAAUUGUGUCUCGUUCUAAAUGUCUGCAAAAGGCUGAUGCUCCCACUACUUUUCACAAUAGUUUAGAAAAGGGAAAGCCAAUAAACCAGUCAAGCUAAUCUCCUGACUUGGGUAGAAUUGUUCUCUUUGGUGCUUUUACUGGUGUUGUGUCUAGACUAGUUUUUAAAUGAGGCAGGAGAUGAAGGCUUCCAAAACCUUCUGUGGUUGGAGAAAUUAGUCACAGCUCAAUGGAACUUGGUAGAAAUUCUAGGUUUUGCCCUGGUUCCAACCACUGUCAUCCCUUUCCCAUACAAAAUGGUACAGACAGGAUAGCAGCUGCCUAAUAUUAAGACUUUGAAGUGCUUCCAACACUCUGGUUCUUGUGGCCUAGUGGUAUCCAAAAGCUUGUAACAAACUGUUCCGGCGUUGGAAGUGAAUAGCUCAGGAGGAAAAGCUUCCCCCAUGGAUUCAGUUCAGAUUAUAAAUCAUGGAUGGAACUAUAUUGUGAUGGCAUCCAAAGAUGAUCCAACAGGGCAUUCCACUUCUUAAGGCACUCCCUUAUUGGAAAAUUAUCCUUAACAUUAACUAGGCAAUUAUGAACAGUCAACACAAUAAGAAUCGUAGAGUUGGAAGGAACCCAAGUGUCAUCUAGUCCAAUCUCAGCUCAAGCAUCCAUGAUAAAUUGUCAUCCAACCUCUGCUUAAAAACCUCCCAGGAAGGAGAGUCCUCAACUUCCCGAGGGAGACUGUUCCACUGUUGAACAGCUCUUACUAACAGAAAGGUUUUCUGUAUGUUUAAUUGGAAUCUCCUUUCUUGUCACUUGAAACCAUUGAUCCUACCCUCCAGAUCAGGAGAAAAUGAGCUUGCUCCCUCUUCCAUGUGACAGCCCUUAAGAAAUAUGAAGAUGGCUAUCCUAUCUGUUCUCAGUCUCCUCUUUUCUAGGCUAAAAAUACCCAGCUCCUUCAAGCACUCUUCAUAAGGCUUGGUUGCCAGACCUUUAAUCAUCUUGGUUGCCAUCCUGUGCACACGUUCCAGCUUGUCAACAUUUUUCUUAAAUUGUGGUGCCCAGAAUUGGAUGCAGUAUCCCAGGUGUGGUCUGACCAAGGCAGUAUAGAGUGGUACUAUUACUUCCCUUGAUCUGAAGAAGUGUGCAUGCACACGAAAGCUCAUACCAAUAACAAACUUAGUUGGUCUCUAAGGUGCUACUGGAUGGAUUUUUUGUAUUUUGUUCGCUUGAUCUGGACACUAUACUUCUGUUGAUGCAGCCUAGAAUGUACUGCUAGUAAGCCAGGUGCCCCCAUCUUAUAUUUGUGCAUCUGAUUCUUCCUGCCUAAGUGCAGAACCUUACAUUUGUACCUACUGACAUUCAUUUUGUUAGCUUGCGCCCAGUUCUUCAAUAUGUUAAGGUCAUUUUGAAUUCUUAUUCUGUCUUCUGUGGCAUUAGCUACCCCUCCCAGUUUGGUGUCAUCUGCAUUUGAUGAGUAUCCCUUCAAUUCCUUUGCCCAAGUCAUUUAUAAAGACAUUGAACAAUAACAGGCCCAGGACAGAACCCUGCGGCACAUCACUUGUCACUUUUCCCCAGGGUGAUGAGGAACCAUUAAUGAGUACUGUUUGGGUUCAGUCUGCCAAACAGCUACAAAUUCACCUGACAGCUACUUCGUUCAACCCACAUUUUACCAACUUCCUUGCAAGAAUAUCAUGGGGGACUUUGUCAAAAGCCUUACUGAAAUCAAGAUACACUAUGUCCACAGCAUUCCCCUGAUCCACCAAGCUGGUUACUUCAUUAAAAAAAAGAGUUUCAUCUGACGUGCCUUGUUUUAGAGAAACCCAUGUUGGGUCUUACUAAUCACAGCAUACUUUUCUAAGUGCUCACAGACUAUCUGUUCUAGGACCUUUUCUGGUAUCGUUGUCAAGCUUUCCCCCAUUUUGAACAUGGGGCCAACACUUACCUGCCUCCAGUCUGCAGGGACAUCACCUGUUCUCCAAGAAUUCUCAAAGAUAAUAGACAAAGGCUCUGAGAUUACACCCGCAAGCUCCUUUAGUACCCUUGGAUGCAGCUCAUCAGGCCCUGGAGAGCUGAAUUCAUUUAAAGUAGCUAGGUGUUCCCUCGCUACCUCUUUUCCUGUGUUGGGCCAUAGCUCCCUCCCUACAUCAUUUAUUCUGUUAUCAUCAGGUUGGGAAUUGCUUUCCUUCUGGUGAGAUCCCAUGAGAUCUUGGAACUCUUGUGAGAUCUGCUGGAAGCUGCCACUGCACAAGCCCACUUAGUGGGGCUUCAGUGGGGGAUGUUGGCAAGCAGGGGUUGCCGCAGGGGGACCUUAGGUGGCAAAACAGGAUGGGCUGCUCUGGCCACCAGUGAGUUGUUACUGUCACUGUGGAUCCUUCCUUCAAGCCUCUCACUCCCUUCCUUUUAUACCUUCAUUGCUCACCACAACCCUCCAGUUGUCCUUUCUCUUACCUCUUAUUGGGGUGUGUGGAGUUGAGUCCUGCCCUGCAUAAUUGAUCACAACACACACACACCAUUUGAAUAGCGGUGCCCAUCAACUUUCACAAGGCCCAGCCCUCUCAAAUAUUCUAGUGGGACCUCAGCCCCUAGGAGUUCGCUCCUGUGCCUCUUAUGGAGUGUUUGCAAGCGCUUAACCUUCUCUAUUGCUUUAGCCCGGCCAUUGCUUUUUUUAGCCAAUACUAAUUCUUCUUCCUCUCCCUAUAUUUUUUGCUGCCUCUUUGCUCAUUUCCCCAUUUUGAUGGGCCUCAUUUCUCUGUGAAGUUCUGCGACCCUAAUGUUAAAGGUCCUAAAAGGUCUUGUUUCAGUGUGUCCGUGUCUGUGUGUGUGUGUGUGUGUGUGUGUGUGUAGAAGUAUAUAUGGGUAGAGGAAGUGCAUGUGAUAAGAAAACCAGGGGAUGGAACCACGAACAGAUAUUACUGGGUAUCCAUUUUAAGAGCCAACCAUGUCAUGAUGACGAGUCACUGAAGGUUUUGCUUUGGAGGAAGACAGUUUGAUAGACAGUAGACCGCCAUCACUGGCCACCAUCUGUACAUAAUCCAAGGGAGGGUGGUUUGGUGUGGGCCUGAGGCCGUGCAAAGGAAACACUCAGAUCCCAACCACCUCUAAAUUUAAGCUCAGACUUGACAACUGAUGAGCUCCAGAAGCUGGGUGACAAAGCCACACUUAUGCUGUGGUUCCCCCCUCCUCUUCAUUUAAAAGCUCUUUGAUGGUCCUACUGCAACUCCAAAUCCAACAACUGAAGAAUCACACCAGCAUUUCUGUGGCAAGGGGCUACUUUGAUAAUUUGAGACAGGCAGCAUUCUUAACUUCAUUUUUUAAAAACAGAAUCAACAUUUGCUUUGGCAAUAUGGCCAGGUAGCAAAAGGCUAGCAGUUAUUAUUAUUAAUCUCGUAAAAACAUGUUUAUGUGUAAGAUGGGGUUUUUGGCCAAAGGGUUGUGGGGAUGGUAAAAGAGAGAAGAGAAUGUGCUUGGAAAACACAUUCAAACCUCCAGAAUGUAGUGAAGUGUUCAGGGUUGGCUUUAAGGGGGAAAUCCAACUCCCAAACGUCUAAUACUUGCUUCUGUUGGGCCUAAUAAACACAAACCACAAGUGUUGUGGGGCGGGGUGGUGUGGAGGGUGAGGUGUGGUCCCUUCUGCUCUCAUACACAGCUUUGUGUGACUUCACAACACACCAAGCCUGGUCAAAUUUUCACCCUUCCCAUGCGUUUCUGUUAUUCAAAUCAUGUGUUAUGAUUCAGAAACCAGACGGCACUUGCUCACCACAUACAACUUAAACAUACAACUUGUGAGCCACCAGAUCAAAUGCAGUGCACCAGUUAUCUGUUGCGGCCUGUCAGGAGCUUGACGGACACCCAUUGUUUUUGCAGAAGGUUUAUUGACACCCAUAAGAUCACCGUGGCAACCUUAACCUUAACCCUGGCGUGUGGGAAUCCCUUGCAGACAAACACAAUGCCUGGAGACAGACAGUAUCCAGAGAAGAAACAACUGCUGCGAGGAGUGCAGAGGGGAGAAAUGCUACAGUGCAUCUGCACCAGCGAAAAGAGAUGCCUUUGUCUGCCCCAGCUGCAAUAAAACAUGUCUCUCCCCUAUCGGUCUCCACAGCCACAACAGUCACUGUAACUCUCCAAUGGUUUGACUUCCCUCCUGAAGGUGCACUCCUCCAUUGUCUCUCAAGACAGAUGGAUGCUAACAGAAGGGGGUGGGGACUAGGUAUGAUGUAAAAUGUGCCUUUGAAGUCAACAGUCAGCUAUUUUAUUUUAAUGCAGAUACUUAUCAGGAUCGCAUCAGGUAAGGAUGAAUUUAACCAUUUGCCCCCGUUAUGAGGAUGAGCUCCUCAAAAGCUCAUACUUGUGAGAGGAGGACGCUAUUCCAUGGGGCAUGUUGCUUGCUUUGCAGAAUGUACGGUGCCUUGCAGAUUAGCAGUGUCUGUUGGGUACUUACGCCCCCGCCUGAACGGUGCUCAUAAACA